CAUAUCACGGCGCUCUAUGGGGUUUGUCUGUGUUUGUGAACAGAGCCCCAGGACCUGCUCUCCAUGAAUUAUUUGGUGUUUUACGUUGUACACAGAGGAUAUUUUUGCAGAAUUCUGCAUGCAGAGUCUCAAUUUCGUGUUUGUCAUUUUGUAACUUUUUGGUUGGUGAGCGGAUCCCAGACCUCACAACCAUAAAGAGUUCUAUAACUGAUUCAAGUAUUUUUUGCCAGAUCCUAAUUGGUAUGUCAAAUUUUAUGAUCCUUUUGAUGGCAUAGAAGGCCCUUCUUGCCUUGUCUCUCAGAUUGUUCACAGCUUUGUGGAAGUUACGUGUGACGCUGAUGUUUAGGCAGAGGUAUGUGUAGUUUUUUGUUUGCUAUUGGGCAACGGUGUCUAGAUAGGAAUUUGUAUUUGUGGUCCUGGCAACUGGACCUUUUUUGGAAGACCAUUAUUUUUGUCUUACUGAGAUUUACUGUCAGUAAACCGGUCAAGCUGGAUCUCUCGCGAGGAGAGAGUAGAACCUCCAACUUCAGUAACUAACUACAGGGCCCUUCUCCUUUAAUGGCAAUAACUGGUGAACUGAUAAAUUAAGGAAAGUACCUGUAAUCCAGUACAGACAUUGGGACGGAAGAACCCAUGCACUAGACAGUCUCAGAAGAAGACUCAAUCUUUAAGGAGCUAGUGUAGCCUGAACAGCACACUUAAGCUAACCUUCAAGGAAAGGAGGAGAAGACCAUUUAGAGCACAGACUCUGCUACUCAAAGGAAGAGCCAGCAGACAGUAACCAGGGACACAACCCAAAGGAGAAGCCCACGAGGGACUAUCCAAACUCAGAGGAAACAAAGGAGGGACAAAGGAGGACACACAGCCAUCGUUCCUUUGUUCACCUCCAUAUGGCCUAACCAGAGCCAAAGUGUUCACAGACUGAAUGUCUUAUGCCUUUCAAAGCAAAAUAUGACAACAUUGAUAUGGAUGGGCUGACAUUUGUAGAGGCCUGAAAUUGCGGGACACUUGAAACAAAUAGAACAAUUAGACGAGUGAAUGCCGGGCAAAAUCCUUCGGCCUGGACUUAAUGGUCCCUUAUCGACAAGCUAAUUCCCCUGUGGAAUAGGAUGUGCCAAAGCAGGAAACAAAUGGAAGGAAUGGAAGCUUGUAUCUUGUAAAAAAACUGUCACAACCAGUUAAAAGGCCAGUUAGCGACUGUAAACCAAACUCUUUCUCACCGGCUUUACCAUACUGGAAGCUGUCAGGAGACCACCUGCAGACCUACUGUAUUUUUGUCACUUGAAAGUAACAGGUAUGCUUUAAGCCAUUCAUUUUGCAGCCUUAUAUUUCUUUUGAUGAGUCAAUUGAGGUAAAUGUUCAGUGCCUUUUAGAAGUAUUUAUACCCCUUGACUUAUUCCACAUUUUGUUGUGUAACAGCCUGAAUUCUAAAUGUAUAGCUUUAUCACCCGUCUAAACACAAUACCCCAUAAUGACAAAUUGAAAACAUGUUUUAAGAAGUUUUAGAAAAUGUAUUGAAAAUUAAAUACAGAAAUAUCUCAUUGACAUAAGUAUUCACGCCUGAGUCAAUACUUUGUAGAAGUACCUUUGGUGACGAUUACAACUGUGAGUCUUUUUGGGUAAUUCUCGAAAGAGCAUUGCACACCUGGAUUUUACAAUAUUUGCCCAUUAAUCUUUUUUGUCAAGUUGAUUGUUGAUCAUUGCUAGACAGCCAUUUUUAGAUGUUGCUAUAGAUUUUCAAGCCGAUUUAAAUAAAAAAAACUGUAACUAGGCCACUCAGGAAUAUUCAAUGUCGUCUUGGUAAGCAACUCCAGUGUAGAUUUGACCUUGUGUUUUAAGUUAUUGUCCUGCUGAAAGGUGAAGUCG
This 1866-nucleotide long non-coding RNA is filed under the name Salmo salar (Atlantic salmon). RNAcentral describes it as "lncRNA (ENSSSAG00000108911.1)". The record is from RNAcentral. Lineage: Eukaryota; Metazoa; Chordata; Actinopteri; Salmoniformes; Salmonidae.